AGUGAACGCUGGCGGUAGGCCUAACACAUGCAAGUCGAACGGCAGCACAGUAAGAGCUUGCUCUUACGGGUGGCGAGUGGCGGACGGGUGAGGAAUACAUCGGAAUCUACUUUUUCGUGGGGGAUAACGUAGGGAAACUUACGCUAAUACCGCAUACGACCUACGGGUGAAAGCAGGGGAUCUUCGGACCUUGCGCGAUUGAAUGAGCCGAUGUCGGGUUAGCUAGGUGGCGGGGUAGAGGCCCACCAAGGCGACGAUCCGAAGCUGGUCUGAGAGGAUGAUCAGCCACACUGGAACAGAGACACGGUCCAGACUCCUACGGGAGGCAGCAGUGGGGAAUAUUGGACAAUGGGCGCGAGCCUGAUCCAGCCAUACCGCGUGGGUGAAGAAGGCCUUCUGGUUGUAAAGCCCUUUUGUUGGGAAAGAAAAGCAGCAGGUUAAUACCCCGCUGUUCUGACGGUACCCAAAGAAUAAGCACCGGCUAACUUCGUG
RNAcentral lists this ribosomal RNA (492 nucleotides) under uncultured bacterium. Its description in RNAcentral is "partial 16S ribosomal RNA". It matches the Rfam family "Bacterial small subunit ribosomal RNA", at positions 29 to 507 of the family's 1533-position model. The record is from RNAcentral.